UUUCCCUCUUGAACUUGAGUCGUUGUUAAGCAGCGAGCAUUGAUUCCAUAAGGUACGUUUCAGCAUAUUCUGCUUCCAAUUCGUAGAGCCCACUCACACAUGUCAAUGAACCAAGCUAUUUCACUUAUUGAUCUUGAAUUUCUUGAGAUGAAUAUGCUAAAAAUAAAAACCAAUAGGCAAUUGGUUGGUCCAGAGUUGAUUUAAUCUUGCCUUCUUUUAAACAUUUAUGAACAGACAAAAUAGAAUGAAAAUGCCAUGGUGAUGUGUGGUUUUGUACACUUUUGAUAUGUACUUUGUAACUUUUAUAGUACUGCCAUAUUCUCAAUGUUUUCAAUCUGAGUAUUAUAUAGUAAUUUAUAUUCCUUGAAGAAUCAGGUUGGCAUUUAAUUGCUGUAUAUGUUUGUUGUAGAAACUUUCCAUUUAUAAUAGGUAUAGCAUCUUCUACCUCCUGCAGCUUCUCUUCCUUCUGUCUUGCUUUUUUGAAGAGGUUAUCAUUAUAGCUUACUUUCAAUACUGCCAUAUUUUUCUUCUGAAUGAGCAUUCAUAUAGAGAUGUGUAUAAUUACCAUCCAUCACAUACAACAACGGCUUCUAAUAGGUGAGAAAGCUAACAAAAUGAUCUGGAAACACAGAUUUUUAUUGAGACAACCAAGACCAAGCCACACAUAGACAUGCAUAAUACACACUUGCACGAAAGAAUCUGAUCAUGGAAAAUAUCGAAAGUCCUCCUGGUGAUUCUUGUUUAUCCACCACAUACAAACACAGCUUCUAGCAGCGAGGGUAAUCAGCUGGUGGGUGAGGGAGGGUCUCCAGUGGUCCUUGCCCAUUCUUGACGAUAAUCGCCACAGACAAACCCCAUGAUAAAUGUAUCUCCAGAUGGCAGUGCAUAAACCAGACCCCUACACCACAUUCAUAGAGUCUCAUCAAGUUUGUUUCAUGUAACGACUCAGAUGUCUGUGUUAGUAUGUGUGUAUGACGACGAACGUGCUAAUGUCUUUGUAUGUAGUAUUCCUCUUAUGCAGAGAUGUUAUAUUAUAUAAAUACGUCACUUUUUCUGUUA
This is a non-coding RNA of Salvia hispanica, 1059 nucleotides long. NCBI's taxonomy places the organism in Eukaryota, Viridiplantae, Streptophyta, Magnoliopsida, Lamiales, Lamiaceae. The record is from RefSeq and is a predicted model, not a curated record.